GAUAAGUGAUCGAUACUGAUGCCAAAAAUGCAAUCAGUAAAAUUUUUGUCUGUCUGUCUGUCUGUCUGUCUGUCUGUCUGUCUGUCUGUAUGUUCCUUAUAGAAACAAAAACUACUGGACGGAUUUUAAUGAAACUUGGUACAAUUAUUCUUCACACUCCUGGACAGGUCAUAGUAUACUUUUCAUCACGCUACAAUCAAUAGGAGCAGAGUAGUGAAGGGAAAUCCUUUUGUAUGAAAAAUCUAAACCACUCAAGUUAGACGUUUGAAAUUUGGCAUGCAGAUACCUUAGAUACCGUAGAGGUGUACUAAGAAAGGAAUUCCCGAAAUUCCCACGGGAACGGGAAUUAGCGGGAAAAUCCUUUUGUAUGAAAAAUCUAAACCACUCAAGUUAGACGUUUGAAAUUUGGCAUGCAGAUACCUUAGAUACCGUAGAGGUGUACUAAGAAAGGAAUUCCCGAAAUUCCCACGGGAACGGGAAUUAGCGGGAAAAUCCU
Molecule: long non-coding RNA, 496 nt
Organism: Pectinophora gossypiella (pink bollworm)
Lineage: Eukaryota; Metazoa; Arthropoda; Insecta; Lepidoptera; Gelechiidae
Exons: 3
Source: RefSeq, a predicted model, not a curated record